UACGGGGGGGGCAAGCGUUGUUCGGAAUUACUGGGCGUAAAGGGCUCGUAGGUGGCCAACUAAGUCAGACGUGAAAUCCCUCAGCUUAACUGGGGAACUGCGUCUGAUACUGGAUGGCUUGAGUUUGGGAGAGGGAUGCGGAAUUCCAGGUGUAGCGGUGAAAUGCGUAGAUAUGCCAUAGAACACCAAUUGCGAAGGCAGCUGACUAGACCUGGAUUGACGCUGAGGCACGAAAGCGUGGGGAGCGAACAGG
This 253-nucleotide ribosomal RNA is filed under the name uncultured bacterium. RNAcentral's name for it is "partial 16S ribosomal RNA". It matches the Rfam family "Bacterial small subunit ribosomal RNA", at positions 524 to 776 of the family's 1533-position model. The record is from RNAcentral.